CAAGACAAAUGGUAACUCAAUGAAGGACAAGGAAGCUUGCAAAAGUAAAGGGAUACUGUAGCAGAAAUGCUAAGUCACAGCUUGAAAAGGUGAUUGAGCACCUGGUAGGAAGGCAGGGCCAACCUGGGGGAGCUCAGGUGUAUGCAAUGCACUGGAGUAACUGGAAGGGGAGAAGCCAGGAUCCACCCCUUCCCACGCCUCAUUUAGGGGUUGGCAGUGAAGGUGAGAAUAUUUUGCUGGAGAACUCUGCAAACCUGAGGCCUUCUAAAGGAACUGUUUUCCAGACAGAUGGAAAAAUAAAGACGACUUUGACCCAAUCUAACCAUCUUUCACGUUGGAUGACAAGGUUCAGGACACCUCCUAUAAGCUCAGGUAUGCUACGUACGAACUCCUAUCUUUGCUAAAAUUGAGACCUCAAAGAUUUGGUAUUUAACUUCUGCAUCCC
RNAcentral lists this long non-coding RNA (445 nucleotides) under Gallus gallus (chicken). Its description in RNAcentral is "lncRNA (ENSGALG00010022694.1)". The record is from RNAcentral. Lineage: Eukaryota; Metazoa; Chordata; Aves; Galliformes; Phasianidae.